GAUGAACGCUGACAGAAUGCUUAACACAUGCAAGUCUUUGGCGAAGCUGUGCUUGCACAGCCUAGCCAAGGCGGACGGGUGAGUAACGCGUAAGGAACUUGCCCUGCAGUCAGGGAUAACAGACGGAAACGACUGAUAAGACCUGGUAAAGUCAGGCGGACUCAUGUCCAGCCUGAUGAAAAGAGAUGCUGCAGGAGAGCCUUGCGUCCUAUUAGCUUGUUGGUGGGGUAACGGCCCACCAAGGCGAUGAUAGGUAGCCGGCCUGAGAGGGUGGACGGCCACAAGGGGACUGAGAUACGGCCCUUACUCCUACGGGAGGCAGCAGUGGGGAAUAUUGGACAAUGGGGGCAACCCUGAUCCAGCAAUUCUGUGUGCACGAUGAAGGUUUUCGGAUUGUAAAGUGCUUUCAGCAGGGAAGAAAAAAAUGACGGUACCUGCAGAAGAAGCGACGGCUAAAUACG
Molecule: ribosomal RNA, 461 nt
Filed under: uncultured bacterium
Lineage: Bacteria
Description: partial 16S ribosomal RNA
Rfam family: Bacterial small subunit ribosomal RNA
Source: RNAcentral